UUGAACAGAAGCAAAAGCCUCCGUAACGGUUGGACGAUAAUAAAAAGUCAUAGCAAAACCCGUCGCUACUUGCACUAAAAAACAAGUAAGUGUAAUUCCUCCUAAACAAUAAAAUAUAUUAACAUGAUGAGGGACAUAUUUACUAGUUAUAUCAUCGGCAAUGGCCUGAAUCUCAAGACGUUCUUCGAACCAAUCAUAGACUUUACUGAAAUAGGUAAACCAGGGGUCCCCCCUUAGAACCCUUUUGGCUAUACAAGGUUUUUCUCGAGCCUAUUCAUACAGUAUCUAAUCAUGUAGAUGGUUAGUGUUGGUAUCCACGCUAAGUCAAUUUAUGAUUUAUGAUACUGGUGUAAAUUCAGGUCAACUAGCAUUUUUUCCAUUUUCUACGUCCUUAAACAUAAAGAAAUGGGAGUUUUCCAAUCAUUCACUCAAAUCCAUUGUCGUCGAACCGAAUACCACUGGGAGGUACUUAUGGCAGAACGGGCCAAUCUAGUCUUUCACAAUAACGUGAUAGGUGGAACUUCCAUUAAAGGACUUAUUAGGAGAUUAAUAGAUCGUUUCGGAAUGGCAUAUACAUCACACAUCCUGGAUCAAGUAAAGACUCUAGGAUUCCAUCAAGCUACUGCUACAUCUAUUUCAUUAGGAAUUGAUGAUCUUUUAAGUUAGCCUCAGUCAUUAUAUAUUGAACAGAAGCAAAAGCCUCCGUAACGGUUGGACGAUAAUAAAAAGUCAUAGCAAAACCCGUCGCUACUUGCACUAAAAAACAAGUAAGUGUAAUUCCUCCUAAUCAAUAAAAUAUAUUGACAUGAGGAGGGACAUAUUUACUAGUUAUAUCAUCGGCAAUGGCCUGAAUCUCAAGACGUUCUUCGAACCAAUCAUAGACUUUAUUGAGAUAGGUAAACCAGGGGACCCCCCUCAGAACCGUAUAUGAAAAUUUCAUCUCGUACGGCUCAAACAAAAAGACUCAAAUACUCGUUAUUUGGAAAAGAGAUAUGUGUAAUAGAAAGUUUUACACUUCUUAACUUAAUCCUAUGAUUCCAGUCUUUUUGAAGAUAAAAAAAAAAUAGAAAUCCAAAAAAUAUUCUUAGUGUUUAUAAUGCCAAAAUUUCAAGUCGGCUCACUCGUCUUUUCUCUUGAUCCUUACCGGCCUCGUGAAUCUUCUAUUAUUUACUUCAUGUGUAAUAGAAAGUUUUACACUUCUUAACUUAAUCCUAUGAUUCCAGUCUUUUUUGAAGAUAAAAAAAAAAUAGAAAUCCAAAAAAUAUUCUUAGUGUUUAUAAUGCCAAAAUUUCAAGUCGGCUCCCUCGUCUUUUCUCUUGAUCCUUACCGGCCUCGUGAAUCUUCUAUUAUUUACUUCAUUUUUUUUGUAUUGUGUCUGUAAUAAGAUUUUACUGCUGUUUUUUUUUUUAUUAUUAUUAUUGAUAAGAAUUUUGUUGUUAAGACCCUAUAAGAAUCAAUUAAAAACCUGAGAUUCAUACCAGAACCACGAUGAUUUCCAAAAAAAACCUUUAAUCGAAGUCCAAGAAUUCCCUGAGUAAGAACUGCUGGAUCAUCACUUAUUCAUUUUCAAGAAAUAGAUAUAAUGAAAAAAAAAAAAUACAAAGAAAUGGAUAAGCGGCGGUAGUUUUAAAGAAUAAAAUUCCAUUUCGUUUUCUAAAUGAAUUCUUCUAAGUCUUUCAUUUUUUUCGUCCGGCUGCGAGGUCUAAAUAUAAAUAUUAAGUAUGAAUCAUAGUUCUAACACUUUAGAAUCUAUUUAUUUUCUAUAUUCCGUGCUCCAGAUACUAGAAUAAAUAUCUGACGGGGUAAAGUCAUCUAUCAAGAUAAGAUGACGUAUCCAUUUUAUGUUNCUUGCUGAUCAUCACUAUCCAACAACAAUAGAAACAAAAAAAAACAAAAAAUGAAAGCCGAGUAAAGAAGAAUCCAUUUCGUUUCUAAAGAACUCAAGUCUCUCAUUUCUCGGUUUCGAAAGUCAAAAUAUAAAAAAGAACAAUAUCACACAGAUCUAAUCUCAUAUCCGUCGAACAAAAAAUAUCACAGGUAAUCAUUAUCAAAUAAACACAUUAUCUACACAAUAGACCAUAUAAAGUCACACCACUCAUAAGCCCGGAAAUACAGAAACAAAGAUAGUUCCCGGCGAACUCGAACUACCAAAUAAAUCAAAAUGGAAUGGGCUAAAAAGGAACGAUCUAAAUGGUAAACUUUACUUUUCUAUUGAAAAGCUAGUUAGUUGGUUCUUGUGAAUCGAAUUCUCUAAUUCAUAGAAAUUAUGUCCAGUAAAAUGGACGAAUUAUAAAUAUCUAAAAUAAUAGAGAGAAAUACCGCAAAUAGGGCCAUUGUAAUCCCCAUCGAAGGGGUAGUUCCCCACCCCGGAGCUAAUUUACCAUAUUCCGAAUUCAAUGGUUUCAAUAAAUCUCCUACAACAGUUCGUCUUGGACCAGAUCUAGAACUACCCUCAACGGUUUGUGUAGCCAUAAAUCCUAUUUUUUUGAUUGAGAUCUGUUGACUUUGUAUACCAUUACGCUGUAGAUAAAGGAUCUUACCCUAUAGAUCCAUUGUAGUCUUGAUAUUAUACAAUCAUGGAAACAGCAACCCUAAUUGCCAUCUCUAUAUCCGGUUUAAUUGUAAGUUUUACUGGGUAUGCCUUAAUUAGUUGGUUCUUGUGAAUCGAAUUCUCUAAUUCAUAGAAAUUUGGUCCAGUAAAAGGGACGAAUUAUAAAUCUCUAAAAUAAUAGAGAGAAAUACCGCAAAUAGGGCCAUUGCAAUCCCCAUCAAGCUAUAAAUAAAAGAUGUUAGUGACAUACUUUUGGGCUUUUGGUUAGUAAAUGAAAUGGGAAAAGCAAUGAUAUACAAUUCAAGCAUGCUUGGUGAUCUCAAAUCACUCACAAAGAGUCCCACCCAAAGGCAAGGGAACCAAGAUGCUCAAUGAUCCUUGAGGCUAUGCAAAUGAAGUGUUAUGAUGCCAUGAGGGAUCUUAGGGACAAAAUUGGGGUCUUACAGAUGCCCCUAUUUAAGGUCAUGCUAUCCGGAGAAGUGAAGGUUAAAAUCUUCGUCUCGACGAGGUAGAAUGGGCUUAAAUAAUAACAAAGAGACGAAUUUUGGUCCCUAAGAGACCUCAUGAUGCAAAUGUAUGUAUGCACAAUAGUAACACUCUGUGGGGAUAUGUGUCCACAAAGGAGGAAAGAAAAUCAGGAGACACCAACAAUCCACAUGAGUGAUUCAUCCCAUGGGUCAAAAACCUGGGGACUCUUAUGGGGAUAAGAAAGAAAUGCGUGAGCAAGGCACGACUCAAAGUUUGGGGAGCAGAAUUCCAGAAGGGAAUAAACCAAUGGAAAGACUCGAGCCAACUCAAAGAUCGCUUGGGAUGUCUAAAAAGACUCUCCUAGGGAAGCAGCGAGAUGAGGUGUUACCGGCUACUGGGUAACAAGCACAAUGAGACAUGUGAUCUGAACACCGACAUAAGGGUCAGAGAUACAACAUGCUCGGGAAGAAAUGAAUAUCUAAAACCGGUAUAAGGGUGAGAGAUAUCAAAACUCCGAAACAUCUGAGGAAGACCUAGGAAGAAAUGAAUAUCUAAAACCGGUAUAAGGGUGAGAGAUAUCAAAACUCCGAAACAUCUGAGGAAGACCUAAAAGGUAUAUUUCCACUCAGGGAAAUCUGACUCCACAGGGGACAAAAGUCAUAACAGGGAGCAGAAAGGGAGGAACACCAGAGAUGCCGGUUACUGGGCAUAUAAUAGGUGACCAACCAAGGCGUGAAUUGGGGAAUAUUCCCAAGACACUCAUCAUCCGAAAGACGACUAAAAGCAAACUCGAUUAUAGGAUGGAUACUCGAUUCCGCAAAGGGGAAACGAAUCUUACUCAACUGGGGAAGAACAAAAGGCUUCGACCGAAGAGUGCAUGAGAUAUACUAUCUAUUACCGUCAGAACAUAGAUAAUAUACUCGCAUGGAAGAUUAUCCAUAACCGGUUACUAGGUGGAUAAAGGAUAAAUCGACCGAAAAGAGAAGGCAUCGGGAUACCGAAACUAGGUAUAUAAUGAUGACCAAUCCAGGGGAGAAACAAUCAUCAUCAACAAUAAAGGGCAGACGAGAGAUGACUCGCUAAGGAUAAAUUGUGGAAAUAGGGCAAUUAUCCAGGUAAAAGAGAGGAUAUCAACACCGAAUAUUGGAUGAAGAUAACCGUCAAUGAGGGGAUUACAUCUACCGGAUACUGGGUAGAAGACCCCGGAAAAGUAACCGUCAUCGAUAACGAUGAACACCAGGUUAACUCUGCAAAGGGGAGAAAAUAGGGUUUACAACUACCGGUAUAAGGGUUGUAAACCACAGACUCCACCGGGGAUAAUAUGAAUGAUUCCUAAUUAUUGAGUAAUUAUUCAUUUAUACCGCGGGGAAUCAAAGAAAACAGCUCCGAGGGGCCAAUUUAGGGUCAAACCAAAGAGGCAAACUGAAUCAAAACUCGUCCUAGUGAGGAUAUAACUCAAUAGGGAAGUCCAUCCCAAUAUAUGUAUUGAGGGAAAAAGAAACAACCAUCAUCCACGAGGACACAACUUGGUGGGGAACAUGGAAGAAAGGAUAGACGCUUUCUGCCUAUGGAGCUGACUCUAUAUGGGGAGAUCAGACACAUACAUCUGCUUGGGGAAAUCCAUAUCACCAAUUAGUAGGAGACAAUAAACAAACGAUAUAUGGCAAAGAAUGCAACAUGAAUAUCUAAAUGUUAUGAUUAUGCAUGUAUAUGCGUGGUUUAUGUAUGAUGAAUGCUGACAAACAGAUAUAUCUAACACACAUAGGAUCCAGGAAUCAACCACCUGAUUCUAUAUCUCAAGAGAGAAAGCCAAAAUCACCGGAGAGCGACCAAUCUGCCGGGGAUCAGAGAUAACAAUAUCUCUGCAGGGGAUGAAUCAUCAGUCUCGGUUGGGAAAAGAAUUUAAUGCACGAGUAGGAUCUGCCACCCAAGCCACUCUAUUGGACAAUAUCUCUGCAGGGGAUGAAUCAUCAGUCUCGGUUGGGAAAAGAAUUUAAUGCACGAGUAGGAUCUGCCACCCAAGCCACUCUAUUGGGAAGUCUAUCCGAGGGAUAAAGGGAUUCAGGGAACCAACCACCAAAAAUCGAAUUUUCCAGAAAGAGCACAGCUGCUGAGGAGGAAGGAUCACUGCUCUGCCGAAGGGAAGGGAAGUGAACAACCUUACCAAGCACUCCACUCGGUGGGAUAAACCACAACAAUAUCUGGGAGGAAGAGGAUACAGUUAUGCCAGGAAUAUGAAUAAAGGUCUUACCCUGUUGGAGGUCAUACUACCAUUGGGAGAGCAUUGGGAAUCUCUUAAGUAUCCUUUCGUCUUUGUGAAUGUUCACUUUGUUUAAAAAUGAUUUAUGGAAAAUUUUAUUGUUUAAAACAAUGAUAUUUCUCAAUUAAAACAUGCAAAAUAUUUGUUGAAUAGAAACAAAUAAGAGUGCAAAUAAAUGAAUAAAGGCUCAAAUUUAUUGGAUGGAAUGGCAGUCUGCAAAUGGCAAGACUCCAUAGAUCUUUACAAAUUUGAAAUUGGUGAUAUAUAUUGGAAAAGGGCUACAUUGAUGUAUUACUGGUAAAGAGGUGGUUAAGACCUAAGCUACAUAACGAAGCUUUGGUCGAUGACGAAUGAACAAGAAUCUCUGACAGAUGAUAAUUGUAGAACAAAGUCUUGUCAGGAUGCAAUUACUUGCCAAAUCCCUAAUUUUUGCCUAGAUUGCCCCAGGAUGAGGUACUUGACCUAGCGGGAUAUAAAUAUUCAUCAUUUUGUUUCAUGUCUCUAACUUUUGCCUGGACCGCCCUUUCGGGUUUUCAAUCCACCGAGAUGCUCAUUUUUGCCUAAGCCGCCCUUUCGGGUUUUAAACUUAGCGAGCUAUUCUGUUUUUAUUUCUAGGCGAAGUAUUUCUUGACUGCAUCUAAAUUCACAGGACGAGUGAAAUCCUCCCCAUCCAUAGUUGUAAGUAUCAACGCACUGCCUGAAAAGGCCCUCUUAACAACAUAUGGACCUUCAUAGUUUGGAGUCCACUUGCCCCUGGAAUCGGGCGCGAAAGACAAGACUUUCUUGAGCACAAGGUCACCUUCUCGGAACACACGAGGCUUGACCUUCUUAUCAAAAGCUUUCUUCAUUCUCUGCUGAUACAACUGACCAUGGCACAUGGCAGUCAAUCUCUUCUCUUCUAUCAAAUUCAGUUGGUCAUAAAGACUCUGAACCCAUUCAGCAUCAGUCAACUUAGCCUCCAUCAAGACUCUCAUUGACGGGAUCUCCACCUCUACUGGGAGUACGGCCUCCAUGCCAUAGACAAGAGAGAAAGGGGUUGCCCCUGUUGAAGUGCGGACAGAUGUACGAUAUCCGUGAAAAGCAAAUGGCAGCAUCUCAAGUCAAUCUUUAUACGUGACAACCAUCUUCUGGAUAAUCUUCUCGAUAUUCUUGUUAGCAGCUUCAACAGCCCCAUUCAUCUUGGGUCUGUAAGGAGAAGAAUUAUGAUGUGCUAUCUUGAACUCACUACACAGCUCUUUCAUUAUCUUGUUGUUCAAGUUAGAUCCAUUAUCAGUAAUGAUCUUAUCUGGCACACCAUACCGGCAUAUGAGUUGAUUCUUGAUAAACUUCACGACCACCUGUCUGGUCACAUUUGCAUAUGACGCCGCUUCAACCCACUUGGUGAAGUAAUCAAUUGCUACGAGAAUGAAUCUGUGUCCGUUAGAUGCCUUCGGCUCUAUCAUGCCAAUCAUGUCAAUUCCCCACAUGGAGAAGGGCCAUGGUGAUGAAAUCACAUUCAGAAGUGUCGGAGGAAUAUGAAUCUUAUCCGCGUAAAUCUGACACUUAUGGCAUUUCUUCAAGCUCUAUCAUGCCAAUCAUGUCAAUUCCCCACAUGGAGAAGGGCCAUGGUGAUGAAAUCACAUUCAGAAGUGUCGGAGGAAUAUGAAUCUUAUCCGCGUAAAUCUGACACUUAUGGCAUUUCUUCACAUACUUGCAGCAGUCAGACUCCAUUGUCAGCCAAUAGUAGCCUGCUCUUAACAUCUUUCUAUCCAUAGCAUGCCCAUUGGAAUGAGUACCAAAUGAACAUUCAUGGACUUCAGUCAUCAACAGGUCCGCUUCGUGUCUAUCCACGCAUCUGAGCAGAACCAUGUCAAAGUUUCUCUUGUAAAGCACUUCGCCAUUGAGGUAGAAACUGCCUGACAAUCUCCUCAAAGUAUUCCUAUCUUUCACAGAUGCCCCAGGUGGGUAAACCCGGUUCUGAAGGAAACACUUGAUGUCUUAAUACCAUGGCUUAUCGUCUUUUACUUCUUCAACCGCAAAUACAUGAGUUGGUCUAUCGAAACGUGUUACAGUGAUAUUGGGGACUUCAUUCCAAUAUUUAACCACAAUCACUGAAGCAAGUGUAGCAAGAGCAUCUGCCAUCCGGUUCUCAUCUCGAGGAAUAUGAUGGAAGUCAACUUCAGUAAAGAAUGUUGAAAUCCUCCUCGCAUAAUCUCUAUAUGGAACGAGACGAGGCUGAUUCGUUUCCCAUUCACCCUUAAUCUGAUUAACAACGGCCGAAUCACCAUAUACAUCAAGAUGUUUGAUCCUUAGAUCAAUAUAUUCCUCCAAUCCCAUAAUGCAGGCCUCAUACUCAGCCAUAUUAUUCGUGCAUUUGAAAGUUAGCCUCGCUGUAAAAGGAAUGUGUGUGCCUUGAGGAGUAAUGAUUACUGCCCCAAUACCAUUUCCAUACGGAUUUACAGCGCCAUCAAACACCAUACUCCAUCGGGAACCAGGCUCUGGCCCUUCAUCGAGUGUAGGCUCAUUACAAUCUUUCAUCUUUAAAUAUAGAAUUUCCUCAUCCGAGAAGUCAUAUUGAACUGACUGAUAAUCCUCAAUCGGCUGGUGUGCCAAGUGAUCAGCCAAGAUACUACCUUUGAUUGCUUUCUGAGCUCGGUACUCAAUAUUGUACUCAGAUAACAACAUCUACCAACGGGCAAUCCUCCCAGUUAAAGCAGGCUUCUCAAAUAUAUACUUGAUUGGAUCCAUUCUGGAUAUUAACCAAGUCGUAUGAUUUAUCACAUACUGGCAUAAGCACUUAGCAGCCCAAGCUAAGGCACAACAUGUCUUCUCAAGCAUUGAAUAUCGAGACUCACAAUCAGUGAACUUCUUACUCAGGUAGUAAAUAGCAUACUCUUUCCUCCCUGAUUCAUCUUGCUGACCAAGGACACAACCCAUUGAAUCUUCAAGAAUAAUCAGAUCCAUAAUCAAAGGUCUCCCUUCCACAGGCGGAGACAGAAUCAGAGGCUCAGACAGAUACUCUUUAAUACUGCCGAAAGCUUUCUGGCAAUCCUCGGUCCAAUCAUGGGACUGAUCUUUCCGGAGGAGCCUGAAUAUCGGCGCACAUGUGGCAGUCAUGUGGGAUAUGACCCUGGAAAUGUAAUUCAAGCGACCAAGAAAACCUCGGACUUGCUUCUCAGUUUUGGGCGCAGGCAUCUCUUGUAUUGCUUUCACCUUUGCAGGAUCAACCUCAAUACCUCUUUCUCUGACAAUGAAGCCUAAUAACUUGCCAGAACGGACUCCAAAUGUACACUUGUUGGGAUUCAGACGAAGCUUAUACUUCUUCAGACGCUGAAAAAGCUUCAACAGGUGCUCUACAUGUUCAACUUCUGUUCUUGACUUUGCAAUCAUAUCAUCGACGUACACCUCGAUCUCCUUCUGUAUCAUAUCAUGAAACAAGGUAGUCAUAGCUCGUUGAUACGUGGCUCCGGCGUUCUUCAAACCGAAGGGCAUCAAUCGAUAACAAAAUGUUCCCCAAGGUGUGAUGAAUGUUGUCUUCUCCAUAUCCUCGGGUGCCAUCUUAAUCUGAUUAUAUCCGGAAAAUCCGUCCAUAAAUGAGAAGAUAUUGAAUUUUGCUGUAUUAUCUACCAACAUAUCAAUAUGUGGUAGAGGAAAAUCAUCUUUCGGACUAGCUUUAUUCAAGUCUCUAUAGUCCACACACAUCCGGACUUUUCCAUCUUUCUUAGGCACGGGCACAAUAUUGGCCACCCAUUGAGGAUAUGUAGAAGUCACCAGAAACCCCGCAUCAAUUUGCUUCUGAACUUCCUCUUUGAUCUUCACUGCCAUAUCAGGAUGAGUUCUUCUGAGCUUCUGCUUCACAGGCACGCACUCAGGUUUCAAAGGUAGGAAAUGUUGCACAAUAUCCAUAUCUAGACCAGGCAUGUCUUCAUAUGACCAGGCAAAGACAUCGACGUAUUCUCGUAGCAAUUCAAAACCCCUUCUUAACAGAUCCUUCCAAGAGUGCCCCAAUCUUCACUUCACGCACACAAUCCUCAGACCCCAAGUUGACUGUCUCCAGAUUCUCGAGAUGCGGCUGAAUGAUCUUUUCUUCAUGCUCAAGUAAAAGGGUAAUCUCGUCAGGAAUCUCUUCAACAACCUUCUUUCUCAUUUCCACUAGGGCCAACAGAAGUAGGAGUUUUCAGUACAGAGGAGGGUUUAACAACAAGUGCCGGAUUCAGAGAAUUCACCGCAUUCCCAAUCGGGCGUUCAACAAAAUUAGCAUUAGCCUGAGGUUUUGGUGGUGCUGAAAACACGCGACCGCUACGGGUUAAACCGCUUACGUUAGAAAUGUUCACCACAAAUGAAGAAGGCAAAGGCACCUUUUUCCCAUCUUCUACAGCAACAGCGUUGUAACGAAAGGGAAUUGCCUUUUCGGAAGAGUAUGGCACAGGACCGGAAGGCUUAAUGAUCAAGGAAGGAGAAACCUUCUGCUUGCUACCAUCGUAUCUAAUGAUAACAGGUUUGGGCAUCCGGAACACCGGGAAUAUUACAUUGACCUCAGGCUCAUCUUCGUCAACAUUUUUGUUUUGAAGGAUCUCAAUAACUCCUUCAUCCAGCAUUUCCUUAAGAUCUUUACGCACCUGGCGACAACCCAAUCGGUUAACAGGGAAGACUCGGCAUCUAUCAUGAUCGUGCUCAUAGUGACUGUACUCACACAGCAAACGGUGAAACUCAACCAGAGACUGUCGAAUAUGACUAACAUUUUGACCUUGUAUUUGCUAGGGCAGCCCUGGACCAUGUUAACAAAUUUCCCAUGCUCGGGCAAUGGGUUCUUCUUCAUGUUAGGACCUACGUCUUCAAAACACAGAAUGCCACAUCUUACAAGGUCUUGAACCUUGGUCUUCAAAGGAUAGCAAUUCUCCACUUUGUGGCCGGGAGCACCAGAAUGGUAGACACAAUGCAAUUCAGGCUUAUACCACCACUGGGGAUUAGCAGGUAUAGCCGGUGGGUCUCUCGGAGUAAUCAACUUCCUCUCUAUCAAAGAGGGAUAUAAUUCUGCGUACGUCAUCGGAAUAGGGUCAAAAGUGACCUUUUUCCUCUCGUAACUUGUGCUGGUUUGAUUACUGUUUCGAGGCUAGUAGGCCUGCUGUUGCGGUCGGUGUUGUUGUUGCUGAUAUUGCUGAGGUGGUUGCUGAUUACUACUAUGUGGGUGGUACUGUUGAUUGUCUCUGAAAACAGGUGCUAUAUGAGCCACCUGGUGCUGGUUACAGGCGGGACGCACAGUCUUCCUCCUCACAGAGGGUCUUCUUGGUUUCACAUGGGAGGUCACAGCAUGUGCCUCUCCAUCUUUCUUCUUUGCAAACGCCCCAUAACGUUUGGCAGAAGAGCCUUCCUCUUUGGUCAGACGUCCUUCUCUAACCCCUUCUUCUAAACGCAUCCCCAUAUUCACCAUCUCGGUGAAGUCAAAAGGAGCGCUAGCAAUCAUCCACUCAUAAUAGAAUGAACUCAUGGUUUUCAAAAAGAUCUUGGUCAUUUCCUUCUCUUCUAGCGGAGGCACGAUCUGUGCUGUCACUUCUCGCCAUCUCUGGGUAUACUCUUUGAAUGUUUCCUUGUCCUUCUGGGACAUGGCCCUCAAAUGAUCCCUAUCGGGAUCCAUAUCCACGUUAUAUUUGUAUUGCUUGACGAAGGCCUCGCCAAGGUCGUUGAAGGAUCGGAUGUUUGCACUGUCUAACCCCAUGUACCAUCUCAGGGCAGCAUCGGACAGACUGUCCUGAAAGUAGUGGAUGAGCAACUGGUCGUUAUCAGUCUGAGUAGACAUCUUCCUGGCAUACAUGACCAGGUGGCUAAGAGGACAAGUGUUUCCUUUGUACUUUUCAAAGUCAGGGACCUUGAAUUUCACAGGAAUCUUCACGUUGGGAACCAAACACAGUUCGGCAGCAGACUUGCCGAAGAGAUCCUUUCCUCUAAGAGUUUUCAAUUCCUUGCGAAGCUCAAGAAAUUGAUCAUUCAUGGCGUCCAUCUUCUCGUAGACAUCUGGGCCCUCGGACGGCUCAGAAUGAUAGAUGGUGUCGUCUACCCUAGGCAUGGUAUGCAAGACAGGAGGAGGAACAGCAAGGACCGGGCUAGAUGCCUGCAUAGAAGCAAAAGUUGGAGCAGGACCCUCGGGCAUAAAGUUAGGAGGCAUUCCCCAUGGAAACCCGGUUGGCAUGGCUGUAGGAGCAAAGUGUGCGCUGGCUGCAGGCACAGUUGAGGAGACAAUCUCUGAGAUGACUGUCCUCUGGGGGGGAGUUGAAGGCGUUGGAGAAGACUGGCUCUGGGCAGCCAAAAACGAUUCCAUCAAGGCACUCAGUCUGGCCACUUCCUCCUUAAGUUCACGGUUCUCUUGCUCUAGUUGAUCCAUCAGUCUUGAAGUGUUGGCUCUAGUGUAGUACCGGUGAGUCAGCUUGUCUUCAAAAUAAAUGAAGAAUACAGAGUUCGACCAUAGGACAAGAGAACGGAAACCAAAACCUGCUUAUGCAUAUGAUGCAUGCAAUGCUUGUGCACAUGAUUUGUUUUUAUUUCAAAGGAUUUCUAGGGUUUUAUUUGCAAAUUUUUGGAAAUAUUGAACAUUUAUCACAUAUGGAAAUAUCUCAUCAAAUAAUAUCAGGGAAAAGAAGUACAACAUUGUCAAUCACGUACAAGAGGAAACGAAAAUAAUCAUACUAUGGAUCCCUAGAAACAAUCAUCUAAUGCUCGGGACACAGGAAGAUAAGAUGCACGAAGCCUCUUCACUUCCUCCUCAUAAGCUGUUGUCGCAUUACGCGAAAAACCGGCGGGAAAAAGAAACACAGAGCCGCCACCGUGCGUUAUUUAUCCCAAAGGAGGGAAAGGAAACACUCGAAGUAAACCUGGAAAGGAAAUGGUCUCGCGACUAGAGAUGGAUAGGAUCGGGAGUCGGUUAUGCGAAGGGAAGGUAUUAGCACCCCUACGCAUCCGUCGUACUCGACGGGAUCCACGCUCAGAAAGGAUAGAAAGAAGGUUGCUAAAUAACUGCUCAAACACUACACACACGCUGGGAUCAAACAUAGAUGAAAGACUGAAGAAGAGGACUCGGCAGGAUAUCGCAUCCUAGGCCUACGUAGUCUGUCAGACACAGACAUCAGAGUCGACGUAGUUCGGGGGAGAAAGCGGAACGUGUUCGCUAGGAUAUCGCAUCAUAUGCAUACAUAUCUUCUCUAACCAGAGAAAGAAUCAGAGCACUCGUAGCUCGGCUAACGCACGCCAAACAAAGACACUAAACGGAGACACUGAGACGUCAAACGAGACACACAACUGGAAACGGAAUGCCAAUCAACGGGCUUACAUCCAACUCCAGACACACAAAGCAAAACAGGAAACCGACUGCCAAUCGCUGGACUUAUGUUAGACUCCAGACACACACACAGGAAACCGAAUGCCAAUCGCUGGACUUACAUCAGACUCCUACCAGAAAGGGAGAAUAGACAGACACGAAAAGAAAAGAAAGCGGGCCCCCCGGAGAGAUCAGCUCAUCUCCUGCCUACGUACCUCAUCUGGUAUGAGGAUCAGGGCGAUGUAGUUCCCCUUAACAAGGAAAGAACUUCUAACCUAACCAGAGACAAGGGAGAUAACAGACUACUAGGAAGACUACGACUCGAGCCUAGAAGUUGUCAUGCAUACGAUCCCUAUGUUGAGGUCUCUAUCCUAACUUGCACAGGAAGCAAGCUAUCCUAAACGGCACAUAAGCAAUCACAAGCACAAGUAUCACACACUAUAUGCAAACAAUUGGCUCACACAGGGCUAGGCUUUAGUCCAGGGGGUCAAAUCAACCUCAGACAAACAAGCCAACUGGAAUGGGGUGUUUUUUAGGCUCUUAACCCUAACAUGAGAGUUAGGGUGAAGCAGAUGAAAUGGUAUGAGGUAUGCCUCAUAGUUUAUCCCUGACCUGGGAGAGCUUCCAAUCAAAUGAAGUGUGGGAGUUCAGAAUGCAGGAACUCUUCUCCAAAAUGACACAACAGAUUUGGGUUUUUAUUCAAUUGCAUCAACACAUGGUGUGAGCAAGUGCAUGACAACAAUGAAAAUGAGCAGGGAUGGAUGCACACUCCUUGUACUGCCAAUUGCCUCUUAGAGGACUUAACCUGCUUGGCACAAAUUAAAAACCAAACAUUGCCUCUUAAGAGGGCUUCAGACAGGUUCCUGCCAAAGUAACAUGACAGUUUCAGACUACAUGAAGAUUAGGGUUAUACCUAAGUGGUAAUGGCCAAACCACAAGCAAAGCAAAGCAAAGUCAAAUAAACCUAAAAGCAACUUAGGUACCUGUGGAAACAACUAAACAAAUCAGUACAACUCAGUCAAACAGACAACAGUCAAUAACAAACAGGCAAUCACUGUACACAAAUAAGCAUGAGGCAAACUCAAAUGAGUUUAUCUCAACCUACAAAACAGCAAAUGUUAGCAUACAAAAGCAAAUAUCAACAUUUAAAUGAGAAGCAACAAAUUAACCAUGGAAUUUAGAUGUUGAACCUGAAAUUCAAAGCUCACAUGAAGUACAAACCACUAGGUCAAAGCCUAGGGUCAAAGAUGAAGAAAAAAUUCAAAACAGAGCUGAAAUUCAAGCACAAUGCAACUUCAAACACAUAUUAACAUGUCCAAAAAAGGAUCACAACAAAAUCAUCAAGCAAGUCCAUGUAAUAAGCCAAGAGAAAGUCAAAAGGCAAUUUUAAAGCUCAUGAUGGACAUCAUGAAUGAAAUUCAAAUCAAAACAAAAUGAUUCAAAUAAUUAUGGAAAAAAUUCAUGAGGCAUCAAACACGUCUAACACAGGAUCAACAUACAAAAAAUCAGAAAGGCAUCAAAGAUCAAUUGGCAUGGAGUUAAAUUGGUACAAGUUGAACAACCAAAGUGUGACACAAAUUCCAACACAUGCAGAACACAAUGCAUAAAAUAGAAAUGGUAAAGUGGAAAGUACAAAACCAAAGCCUAAAACAUCCAUCAAUGUGUCUAGAAUCAUCAUGUAAAAUUUCAUGGCAUUUGGAUCAAUAUCAAGCAUUUCACAAUAGAAAGAACAAGGCAAUGUCACAUAUGUACAUAUGUUCACAUAAUCAGUCACAAUUCAAAUUCUAGAAGUGAUAAAAUCAUGAACCAACUACCAAAAAAUAAUAGACAUCUCAAGGGUCAUGUAGCAAAAAAUCUGGAAUUAAUUGGAUGAUUUUUCAAUUUGAUAUGACUUUUUGAAGUUGACAAAAAAUGAUGAAAUAAAAUUUGACAUGUGUACAUGAUAUUUGGAGGGAAAGAAGAAAUGGAAAAGAAAUUUGAAAAUAUGCAGCAUGCAGGAAUCGAAGCGUGUGGGCGCCUGAACCAGACAAAACCCUAGCACUGGUAUGCGUAUGGUACGCGUAAUGUCAAAAUUAUAGCAGGUCGUACGCGUAUGAUACGUGUACGUUGCGUGGAGGUUUCCACCGUCUUCUUCGCGAAGAUGGUGGCGCUACAAUGCAUGUGUUCAGAAUUUUUUUCCAGAAUUUCGAAAUGCAUACAUCAACAGAAAGCUCUUCCAAUGUAGGUUACAGAUCAAUCAAUAUCUAAGCCUAACAAGCCAUGGAUUAAGAGAUACGAGCAAAACAUUUUGAUAUGUCAAACUUUAAUCAAGCAAAUCAUUCAUUUCUCAUGCCAUUUCACAGCGAAUUUUAUAUCAGAUUAAUCACAUUGAAACCCUACCGUAAAUAUGUUAAUGGAUGUAAGAAUGUGAGAUUCGAUAACUGAACGCUUGUGAAGCAGUUCUAUAAAACGCACGUCCAUAGCUUCAAAUGAUCAAAUCAACUCCUGAGAUGAUAACUUGAAUUUAUUGUGUGAGAUUGAAGAUUGAAAGAACUAGAUCUUGAUUAUUUCGCACUGUCGAUCUUGCAUGAGUUGCUGUUUGUGAGUAUGCACAAAUUCUGCUCGAAUUUAAUGAUCCAAUGCUUGAUUCUUCAUCCACUACACUCAAUAAACCAGAAUAUGGAAGAAAAAUGCUAUGCUAUGUGGAGAAUUUUCAAGUUUUGAUUGAGCGAAAAUUUUGGAGGGAAAAAGUUUUAGAUCUAGAAAUGAUGAAAAAAUGAUUAACCUCUUUAAAUUCUGUUAGAUUAGAGUAUUUAUAUGCUUCCUUAAUCACCUUGCUAAUCCAUAAUUAGUUUGGUUAAUGAAAAUAAGGUGUUUUUGCAAAAAAUAAAAAUUGCAUGGUGCAUGUAGUAAACCCACGUGAACAGUACCACUUCCUUCAUCAAAGUCACUUAAAAUCAUCUUUUAACUACAAUGGCAAUGGUAGAAAGUCCAUACAAUGCACCAUUUUUGAAUUUUGCAAUUUCCCUCCAAAAAAGGCAUGGAUAUGCAAGUGAUAAUAUGAUGACAAUUUCAUGCAAUGUGAUGAGGUAUUUGGAAAAUUCAUGACAUGAGAAACAUUUUGCAAAAAGAACCACCAAAUUUGGAGUUUUGGUUCAAAAGAUAUGGUCAUUUGAAGUUUCAAGAGACAAUUUCAUGCAAUGUGAUGAGGUAUUUGGAAAAUUCAUGACAUGAGAAACAUUUUGCAAAAAGAACCACCAAAUUUGGAGUUUUGGUUCAAAAGAUAUGGUCAUUUGAAGUUUCAAGCACACUUUGCCAUGAUUUGAUCAUAACUCCUAACCAUUCAGCAUAAAUUCAUGAUCUUGGAAUUUUUGGAAAUGGGAGAGAAAGGUCUUCAACUUUCAUGUUGGAUAAAAAUUCAUUUGAAGCUUCUUUGAUGUUGGAAAGUUGAGUUGAAGUUGGUCCAAAAACUUGCCAUUUUUGGAAACUUUCAAAUUACAGGUCGCUUUCCAUUUUUGGAAACUUUUGAUCUGACUUCAAAAUAUUCAAGGUAGAUGUUUGACAUGAUGAAUAAACCUCUUUUGGACAUGAAUGAAGUGUCUCAAACCAUUUCUCCAUCUCCUAGCCCUUAGUUGACUUGCAGUUGACUUUUAUGGGCCUCAGAUGACUUGGACAUAUACUGAUGACUUUUAAGCCUCUAGCUUUUGGUCAAGUUGCUUCAAAAUGAUCCUUAAUUCACACAAACCCUCUAGAACAAUCAUAGGGCCUUCAUCUCAUGGAAAUGCUUGGUCUCUUGCACAGUUGACUUCUCCUGAUGCCAGUCUUGACUGAUGAAAUGCAAGGUACUAUGCAAUGUUAAUGCAAUGUUAAUGCAAUGUCAAUGACCUAAAAAAUGAAAUGAAUGUACAAAUGGGGGGGUGCAAGUUUGAGGUGCUACAGCUUCCUCCAUAUCCGCCUUCUCUUUGGCGAGUCGAUCGUACUUCCUCUUCCAAAACCUGGAAGACUAAGGAAGUACAGAAGUCCAUGCAUCAUUAGGAUCAUCAAUAACCUGAUGCUCAAGGAACUCAAUCAAGGCAUCCUUCUCCUUAAUCUGCUGAAGCAACUCUUCCCUUUCACGGAUCCAAGCACGUGAUAGGUCUUCGUCUCUUAACUCCUUUACUCCUUGAUUAGGGAGGGUUGAAUGCCCAGCCAUAAUCAUAGGUGUAGGUCUCGGAUACUCGUAAGGCAUGAGAUACUCAGAAGCUCUCCUCCUUACCCAAGCAGUAUAAGGCUCCAAAGCGAUGCAAUUCUUAGGACCCAACUCCUUCCUAUCAGAAGCUCUCCUCCUUACCCAAGCAGUAUAAGGCUCCAAAGCGAUGCAAUUCUUAGGACCCAACUCCUUCCUUCCUUUCUUAUGAAUCUUGCGCCAAGCGCGGAUCAUCCUAGCUUUCAAGCCUUAGGGAUCUUUACCCUCCUGAAAGAACACACCCUCUAACAAAAUGUUAUUAGGUUUAUCCUUUAGGGGGAACCCAAGCUGACGACGGGCUAAAACAGGGUUGUAGUUAAUCCCACCACAUGUACCAAGAAGAGGCACAUUGAAGAAUUCACCACAAGAGUCGAUAAUCUGCACACCAUUAUACACACGGUUGUACCAAGAGAUGUCAUCAUUAGUGAGAGACAAAAGUCUCGUGGACCACCGUAGACAUCCCUUGUUCUCCUUGAAAGAGACCGUCUGAGGUAAGUGAGAAAUAAACCACUUAUACAACAGAGGCAAACAACACACAAUGGCGCCACCACCCUUUGCAUUCCUCAUAUGCAAAGAGAAAUAGGCAUCACCCAACAUAGUAGGAACAGGAUUAAGAGUAGAAAAGAUCCUAAUAGCGUUCACAUCCACAAACUUGUCGAUGUUGGGGAACAAUACCAAUCCAUAGAUGAGAAGUACAAAUAUGGCUUCAAAGGCAUCAUCACUCAUAGCCUUCCCAUAGAUAGUAGCUUGAGCAAUGAGGAACUCAGAAGGGAGACCUUGAAUUCCACCUUUGGUAGUCAUAUGAGCACCAACCAGAGAUUCAUCUAUGUGUAACAUAUCAGCUAUCUCUUGAGAAGUAGGAACAUUCUCCAAGCCAAUGAACGACAACUGAUCCAGGAUAGGUAUACCCACAAGAUAAGCAUACUCCUCAAGGGUAGGCAAAACCUGAAAGUACGGAAACGUGAAGCAACGGUACAAGGGAUCAUAAAACUGCACCAAUACACUCAUCAACCCUUCAACCACCUGAGUAGUCAGAAGAGGAAGAAGCUUCCCGAAACGAGCUUUGAAACCCAAGGGAUCUAGUACAUAGGAUGUCAAAUUCCUUAACUCUUUCAGAUCUGGUUACCUGAAGCUGUACUUCUUUGUCUUCCUUCUUUGUCUGAAAAUUUUGCAAAUAAACCCCUUAAGUCCCUUGAAAAUUUUCUUCAUUAUUGAUGAUAUGGAUGCAAAUGGAUGCAUGAAUGCAACAAUCACACUCAAGGAUCAAGCAAAGCACACCAAACGAAGGUCAUGGGAUGGAUCAUAUUAUCCUUAAUAUCAAUCAUCCAUUUUGGUGGAUUAUGGUUUUACACCUUAUCAACACCCAAGUUCCAUUGAUAUUAAGGGUAUAUGAACGAAUCAACCAUGAAUCAAGGGUUUGUUGCAAGUCACGAGCAUGGAGUCUUGGUUAAGAACCACCCAAAGGGAAUGUACUAGGGUUUAAACCUGCCAAACAUGUUCUACAAGAGGUUCCCAUAGUCAUCAUCCCAUCUUUCGGAUAUUAUCGGAGAAACGACUACUCGUAUUCCAAAAAUAUUCUCAAGAGAGACUCUUAUGAGUGUAGUAUCACGUAACAAUCGUAUCAAAUCUUACACUUGAACGACUUUCGCACUACAUCCUAAGAAUAGGCCAAGAUGGGCUUGGUAAACUAAGGUCCUUGGCUUCUAAGGUCUAUAUUGGAAAGAGUAAUGUCUAACCACAACUUACUUGUGUGACAUUAUUGAUCCCAACAUGACCUCCACCAAGUGAAUGGACUUGCAAGUCAACUUGCUAAGGAAUAACUCCACACAAGUCAACAAGACUACGCCAUUCUCCUAUCCUAAGUGCACUCGAGUCCGGGUAUAGAACUCAUCUCACAAAGAUCACCAAGCAUACAAGGAAUUAAUAUCAAGCAAAUCAAUCAUUACAUACAAUACAGUAAUCCCAAAUUGCACAAAAAUAUGUCACAAAACAAUACAAUACAGCAAGCAUGAAAAGUUGGCAAAACCCACUAGGCCAAGAUCCCCAGCAGAGUCGCCACUUUUCUGUAGCGGGGUAUUCGUUACCAUUAGAGAUAUUGACUAAAUCCAAGGUAAGUCAUACAAGUCGAGUCGCCACCGCACUUCUAUUUAUCUAAAGGAAUGGUUAGAAAGCGAACAAAAAACCUAAAAGUUUUAACAAAAACUAGUAAAAGAAACAGAGAUCUGGGUAAGGGGGUUGGUUAGGUAAUGGGAAGGUGUUAGGCACCCAAAACAUCUUAGGUACUCCUAGGGAGCCCUUUUCACACUUGUGAAGGUUGUUGUCUUGUGAAAAUUUUGUUUGUGCAAACAUGAUUGAAGAGAUGAGAAGAGAAUAUACAAGUUUAUUUACAUUUUGUUUGGAUGGAUAAACCCAUUGCCUACGUACCAUCUUAAAAAAGAUUAGGAUCAAAACCUCGUAGUUCGGGGUAAAAAUCUCAAAAUGAGUUGGUGAAUUGAUUGGUCCAAAAGCCUUAAGGUCUUUUGUUAUCCAAGGGAGAAAACUCAACCUAAAACCACAAAUCCACCAUGUGAGGAUAGCUUCAACAUGCUAGUGAGGGGUUAACCCUAUAAUAAGCAUGGAAGACUCAUUGUCCAUCACUAAGGAUAUAGGUGAGUAUUACAUCUACCACAAGGAUAACUCAAACCUAAUAGCUAAAGGUUAUGAAAAAUUUGAUUAAGGAAGUGGCCAUUGGAACCACAAAAAGACAUUUGAAUGGGUUAUAUUUACCAAUUAGAAGUAUAUACAAAAUGGUCAAAGUUGACUUAAAAGUUCAAUUCAAAAUAAGUGUUAUGAAAAGAAAGUUUGAAAAUCAAAAGCAUAAGGCUUAGGUUUCUAAUGUUUGAAAAGAAGUGUUAAAUGUUUGCACAAAAGUUUUGGCUUGGGUUAGAGUGGAGGGAAGAAGAAGAAUGGCUAAAGUCCUAAUCAUACAAGAGAUAAGGGAUAAGAAACAAGACCACAAAUGGAGUUCCUCUCUUGAGAUCAUAUUGAUGAUCCAAGUAGCUCCCAUCCUUUGGAAUAAGAAAUCACACAAAGCUUAAGCAAUCAAACAAGUCUCUUAAGAGAUCCUCAAUGUAUCUUGUAUCUUCCACUUGGAUGAACAUGGCAAUGGUCCUCCAAUUAAGCUUACGUAGAAUUCCCUAGCACAAAAGCACACACAUCAAAAGUUCCAUGAAGUAAAUCAAGAAUGGACAAGAGUGAGUUUAGAGGUUUGGUCCUUCUAAUCCAUCUUCAACAUUAAGGUCCUUUUACUCCAAUUUGCAUAGGGAAAGUCCUAGAAACUAAGUCCAUUUGUCCAUUUCUUUGCAUUUGGUCCACAACAAUCAAAACAAAACACAAGCACAAUAAUAUAUACACAAUUAUGUGCUCAAGUGAGCAAAAGGCAAAUGGCAUUAACAUAAACAUGUGCUCAAGUGAGCAAAGAGAAAAGCAAAUGGAUAAUAUGUGCAAGAAUAGUAAAUUGCAUAAAAGUAAAGAGCAAAAGUAAAUGUUAAUGGUUAAUAGUUAGUGUUAGUAGUUAGUGUGCCAUAAGGCAAAUUUAGCGCUAUGUUAAGCAAUCGUAAUUGGACUUAUGUAGAAGUCACAACUAUCUGAGGCCGGUCAAUAAUAAUGUAGGCAACAAACACAAGUUAGGAGUCUUGAUUAGUGAACCAAGUCCCAACAACUUGCCAUGCCAAAAGGAGAAGAGAAUUGAUCUUGUAUUGGUUUAAGCCUUAUGCAUGAUUUAUAAGACAACCUAUCCUUAAUGCAAAGCCAUUCACUUGAUCAAUUGAUCAAGAUGAAUUAGAUUUGAAUCAAGGAAGGUUAAAUCCUUCUAAUCAAUGCUAACUUAUCAACCUUCAACUCAUUGAUCAAAAAGAAAAAGAAGAAGAAGGAGAAGAAAAAGGAGAUGGAUAAGAGAAAUGGAAAUGACAAAAUUAAAGUGCAUUGAAUGAAACCUCAUGUACCAAUCCUCAUAUGUUGACCAAUAACGUUUAAAGUCAAGGUCAAACUAUCAAAAACAGAAGUGAGAUGAGGAUUGGAAGUCAAGAAAUGAAUAAACUAUUUUUGGCAUUUUUUAAUAUUAAAAAUAAACUUGAAUUAAAAUAAAUGGAAAGGUCAAACUUCAAAAUCACUUCAAAUCAACCUUGAAAGGUCCUAGUGAUUUAUCCUAAGUCCAACAACGUCAAACAAGGUUUGACAAAAAAAAUUAGCAUUUUUAAAAGUCAGAAACUAAUUUUAAUCAAUUAAAAGAAGAAUAAAAACAACCUAAUUGAAUUAAAAUCUCAAAUAAAUCUCAAAUCAAUUCAAAAAUUGAUGAGAAUAUUUUUCAUAGAUCCAUCAUCAUUCAAAUAGUUUAGGAAAAUAUUUUUGCAUUUUUUUGAAUAUCAAAAACUAUUUAAAAUGAAUUAAAAAUAACCAGAAAAGAGAAAAUUCACAAAAAAUAUCAAAUGACAAAAUAAAAAAUAUUAAAAAAAAGAAAUACAAACUAGAAUUUAUUUGGGAAAUAAUGCAAUUGGUCCCAUAUUUUUUGGAUUAAAAAUGAAGAAGAUAUUAAUUUUUGAAAUAAAAUGGAAUUAACGAAAAUAAAAGGAAAAUAAAACAGAAAAUAGAAAUUGGAAAAAAGCGUGACCGUCUGAUCUAAGCUCAUUAAUUAUGCUGGCAAAUCAUGAGGCCAGGAAGCGCGCGCCUAUGGUGAUCCACGGUCAAUGCGUUCACAUGUGAAACAAAUAAAAGUAAUAACAAGCAACGCUCCUGAUUCAAUCUGGAAAACAGAUCACACGGCCAGAAUUUAAACUGGGGACGAUGAAGCCACCGGAGCCACCGUCUUCUCCGGUGAGCUUUCAGAUUCCGGCCAAAAUGCAGAACUUCGAAAGGCAACCAAAACGUUCGAUCUAUACAUCAAUAGAAAGCUAAGAUGAUGUACAUCAUCUCUAUACCAUCCAUUUUCCUUCUAGAUCUCUAUGAUUUGAGAAAUCAGAAGUUGAAAAAUCCGGUGUUCAUCAUGAACUCAAUGAAUUCCAAAAAUUAAAAGCAUAAACAUGAUGCCUCUAUUGAGAGGACUUCAGCCAACACAAAACCACUGCCAAUAGGUCAAAGGAUUAGGAGAAUCGAAGGAAUUACCAGUUGGAGUUAAAGUUUGAGUUCUGGUGAUUUGAGCUUGAAACCUUGCUUGCUUUAUCAAAACAGAAGUUCAAUGAAGUGUAUAAUGAAGGUCUAGAAGCAUUAGAUCUAUGAAUACAACCAGAUGUAGUUGAAUUCGAGAUCUGAAAAUUUUAAGAGAAAUGAAACUUGCUUCUUUAGUGAUGGUUGGGGAAUGAAUUCUGUAGCAAUUCAGGUUGAAAUUGUGUGUGUAAAUGGAGGGAAUGAAGCAUAUAUUUAUAGCUGAAGCUGAUGCCAAAUGAGAAGAAACUCGUGUGCAUGAAGCUUUGGGUACUCCAUGCAUGGGCCUGUACAGGCGCAUGUGAGGCCCAAAAGCCGAUGGAUUUGCAAGCUGAUAGCACAAUGAAUUGAUUUGGACGUGUAAUUUGCCUUGCAAUAGCUUGCAUUUCAAGAUUCAAUGUGAAUUCUCCAUUUGUACCUAAAUAAUCAUCUCUUCGAAAGUGCCACUUAGAAAAUCCAAGCAUAAGCAUAUGGGUAAUGGUUGGAAAGGUCUUUGUAU
Molecule: long non-coding RNA, 22448 nt
Filed under: Lathyrus oleraceus (garden pea)
Lineage: Eukaryota; Viridiplantae; Streptophyta; Magnoliopsida; Fabales; Fabaceae
Description: Pisum sativum (pea) long non-coding RNA (PSAT_LNC034982)
Source: RNAcentral